UCAAAUUUGCAAAGUCCCCUUCGUUCUCACUCGUACUCUGUCUCGCACCUUCCCUUCUCCCAGCAGGUUUAUCUCUCGUUCAUUUGUUUUCUCCAUUCUCUCUCGUUCGCCUUCAUCAUGUUCCUCUGUGUUUCCUUUGCUCUUGUGUCACCGUUGUCGUUCGUUGUAGCUAGCCAUUCACCACCAUUCUCAUUCGUGGUCGUUGGCCAUUCAUCGUUGUUGUUCAUCGCCAGUUCGUCAACUCCCAAAAGCUAUUUAAUUGAAGAAAAGAACUAUAUGGAUCGUGAUGGUUACAAAAACGAUUAUUUUUCUGCAAUAAGCUGAACCAAAGCUUCACGAGCUGAUCAUGAAGGCAUUUUAACACUAAGCAUUUUCAGUCUUUCUGGAACAGGCAUUUAUUGCAAUGUGGCUUCCACGUGACUGCAAUCCGACCACCUACUGUGCCUCCUAACUCAUGCAGUCUCAUAAACAAAAAGGAAACUAUGAGUGUGGAUACUAUGUAAUGAAGACAAUGCAUACUAUUAUCGAUUCACAAAUAGUAUCUAGGUGGAUUGAAAUAUUUAUAGAUCGAUCACCAUUACCGCUAGAAGACAUAAACACCAUUAGGGAGCAAUUAAUGGGCCACAUUUUUUAUCAACCAUUACAUUAACUAGUUUGCGAUUAUGUUUUUAUAGUAUUGCUUUAACUAGUUAGGACUUACAUUUCAUUGAACAAUGUCGUCCAUUUAUGUAUUACAUGUAUAUAUAUAUGGCUAAACUAUUUGAUUAUAU
Molecule: RNA transcript, 770 nt
Organism: Cajanus cajan (pigeon pea)
Lineage: Eukaryota; Viridiplantae; Streptophyta; Magnoliopsida; Fabales; Fabaceae
Source: RefSeq, a predicted model, not a curated record